CGGACGGGUGAGUAAUGUCUGGGAAACUGCCUGAUGGAGGGGGAUAACUACUGGAAACGGUAGCUAAUACCGCAUAACGUCGCAAGACCAAAGAGGGGGACCUUAGGGCCUCUUGCCAUCGGAUGUGCCCAGAUGGGAUUAGCUAGUAGGUGGGGCAACGGCUCACCUAGGCGACGAUCCCUAGCUGGUCUGAGAGGAUGACCAGCCACACUGGAACUGGGACACGGUCCAG
RNAcentral lists this ribosomal RNA (232 nucleotides) under uncultured bacterium. Its description in RNAcentral is "partial 16S ribosomal RNA". It matches the Rfam family "Bacterial small subunit ribosomal RNA", at positions 99 to 334 of the family's 1533-position model. The record is from RNAcentral.